UGUAGCAAGGUUAACCGAAUAGGGGAGCCGGAGGGAAACCGAGUCUUAACCGGGCGUUAAGUUGCAGGGUAUAGACCCGAAACCCGGUGAUCUAGCCAUGGGCAGGUUGAAGGUUGGGUAACACUAACUGGAGGACCGAACCGACUAAUGUUGAAAAAUUAGCGGAUGACCUGUGGCUGGGGGUGAAAGGCCAAUCAAACCGGGAGAUAGCUGGUUCUCCCCGAAAGCUAUUUAGGUAGCGCCUCGUGAAUUCAUCUCCGGGGGUAGAGCACUGUUUCGGCUAGGGGGCCAUCCCGGCUUACCAACCCGAUGCAAACUGCGAAUACCGGAGAAUGUUAUCACGGGAGACACACGGCGGGUGCUAACGUCCGUCGUGAAGAGGGAAACAACCCAGACCGCCAGCUAAGGUCCCAAAGUCAUGGUUAAGUGGGAAACGAUGUGGGAAGGCCCAGACAGCCAGGAUGUUGGCUUAGAAGCAGCCAUCAUUUAAAGAAAGCGUAAUAGCUCACUGGUCGAGUCGGCCUGCGCGGAAGAUGUAACGGGGCUAAACCAUGCACCGAAGCUGCGGCAGCGACGCUGAUGCGUUGUUGGGUAGGGGAGCGUUCUGUAAGCCUGCGAAGGUGGCCUGUGAGGGUUGCUGGAGGUAUCAGAAGUGCGAAUGCUGACAUAAGUAACGAUAAAGCGGGUGAAAAGCCCGCUCGCCGGAAGACCAAGGGUUCCUGUCCAACGUUAAUCGGGGCAGGGUGAGUCGACCCCUAAGGCGAGGCCGAAAGGCGUAGUCGAUGGGAAACGGGUUAAUAUUCCCGUACUUGGUGUUACUGCGAAGGGGGGACGGAGAAGGCUAUGUUGGCCGGGCGACGGUUGUCCCGGUUUAAGCGUGUAGGUGUGUGUUCCAGGUAAAUCCGGUUCACUUUAACACUGAGGCGUGAUGACGAGGCACUACGGUGCUGAAGCAACAAAUGCCCUGCUUCCAGGAAAAGCCUCUAAGCAUCAGGUAACAUCAAAUCGUACCCCAAACCGACACAGGUGGUCAGGUAGAGAAUACCAAGGCGCUUGAGAGAACUCGGGUGAAGGAACUAGGCAAAAUGGUGCCGUAACUUCGGGAGAAGGCACGCUGACACGUAGGUGAAGUGAUUUACUCAUGGAGCUGAAGUCAGUCGAAGAUACCAGCUGGCUGCAACUGUUUAUUAAAAACACAGCACUGUGCAAACACGAAAGUGGACGUAUACGGUGUGACGCCUGCCCGGUGCCGGAAGGUUAAUUGAUGGGGUCAGCGCAAGCGAAGCUCCUGAUCGAAGCCCCGGUAAACGGCGGCCGUAACUAUAACGGUCCUAAGGUAGCGAAAUUCCUUGUCGGGUAAGUUCCGACCUGCACGAAUGGCGUAAUGAUGGCCAGGCUGUCUCCACCCGAGACUCAGUGAAAUUGAACUCGCUGUGAAGAUGCAGUGUACCCGCGGCAAGACGGAAAGACCCCGUGAACCUUUACUAUAGCUUGACACUGAACAUUGAGCCUUGAUGUGUAGGAUAGGUGGGAGGCUUUGAAGUGUGGACGCCAGUCUGCAUGGAGCCGACCUUGAAAUACCACCCUUUAAUGUUUGAUGUUCUAACGUGGACCCGUGAUCCGGGUUGCGGACAGUGUCUGGUGGGUAGUUUGACUGGGGCGGUCUCCUCCUAAAGAGUAACGGAGGAGCACGAAGGUUGGCUAAUCCUGGUCGGACAUCAGGAGGUUAGUGCAAUGGCAUAAGCCAGCUUGACUGCGAGCGUGACGGCGCGAGCAGGUGCGAAAGCAGGUCAUAGUGAUCCGGUGGUUCUGAAUGGAAGGGCCAUCGCUCAACGGAUAAAAGGUACUCCGGGGAUAACAGGCUGAUACCGCCCAAGAGUUCAUAUCGACGGCGGUGUUUGGCACCUCGAUGUCGGCUCAUCACAUCCUGGGGCUGAAGUAGGUCCCAAGGGUAUGGCUGUUCGCCAUUUAAAGUGGUACGCGAGCUGGGUUUAGAACGUCGUGAGACAGUUCGGUCCCUAUCUGCCGUGGGCGCUGGAGAACUGAGGGGGGCUGCUCCUAGUACGAGAGGACCGGAGUGGACGCAUCACUGGUGUUCGGGUUGUCAUGCCAAUGGCACUGCCCGGUAGCUAAAUGCGGAAGAGAUAAGUGCUGAAAGCAUCUAAGCACGAAACUUGCCCCGA
RNAcentral lists this ribosomal RNA (2183 nucleotides) under Salmonella enterica subsp. enterica serovar Chester. Its description in RNAcentral is "partial 23S ribosomal RNA". It matches the Rfam family "Bacterial large subunit ribosomal RNA", at positions 636 to 2802 of the family's 2925-position model. Lineage: Bacteria; Pseudomonadati; Pseudomonadota; Gammaproteobacteria; Enterobacterales; Enterobacteriaceae. The record is from RNAcentral.